Molecule: ribosomal RNA, 252 nt
Filed under: uncultured Veillonellaceae bacterium
Lineage: Bacteria; Bacillati; Bacillota; Negativicutes; Veillonellales; Veillonellaceae
Description: partial 16S ribosomal RNA
Rfam family: Bacterial small subunit ribosomal RNA
Source: RNAcentral
UGGCAAACGGGUGAGUAACGCGUAAACAACCUGCCCAACGGAUGGGGACAACAGACGGAAACGACUGCUAAUACCCAAUAGACUCCGGUUUCGCAUGAAACCGACAGGAAAGGUGGCCUCUCGAAGAAGCUACCGCCGCAGGAGGGGUUUGCGUUUGAUUAGUUAGUUGGUGGGGUAACGGCCUACCAAGACGAUGAUCAAUAGCCGGUCUGAGAGGAUGAACGGCCACACUGGAACUGAGACACGGUCCAG